This is a long non-coding RNA of Octodon degus (degu), 502 nucleotides long. RefSeq lists it as uncharacterized. The record is from RefSeq and is a predicted model, not a curated record. Lineage: Eukaryota; Metazoa; Chordata; Mammalia; Rodentia; Octodontidae. The transcript has 5 exons.
UCGUUCUUUUGGUCUGCGGCGCUCUUGGAGCAGUGUGCGACCGUUUCUGCUUCGGUGGUAGUAGCUUCCGCCUUCUGCCCCACGUUUUGUGAACGAUUAUCGCAGUCAGGGAGUACAGCAUGGAUGUGGGAGAACGGAGUCACCUCUGGGCCUUGGACAGGGUUCCAUUAAGACAUCUCCAACCUUGGAUCUCCUGAGCUACAGGGUUUGCUGAUGGCCUAAACCAGCCUCUGAAUGGAGCAAGAUGAAUUGUGGGCAUGGGAAAGGGUUGGUCAUCACAACCUGAUCUUUGGUUCGUGCCUGUAACAGAAGUUUCUUGCCUAUGGAGUGGGGAGUACAAAGACCUGACAUCAGCUGUGUGUUCCUGAGCCAGGCAGCAGGUGUUUUUUGUUUUGUUUUGGUACUGGGAGUUGAACUAGGGACCCCGCACUUGCUUGCCAGGCGGGUGAUUCCAAUUUGUAACAGCUUUCCUACCUGGGAAAAGAAAAUAAAAUUCUUGAAA